Molecule: transfer RNA, 72 nt
Filed under: Caldilineae bacterium
Lineage: Bacteria; Bacillati; Chloroflexota; Caldilineae
Description: tRNA-Glu
Rfam family: tRNA
About the family: Transfer RNA (tRNA) molecules are approximately 80 nucleotides in length. Their secondary structure includes four short double-helical elements and three loops (D, anti-codon, and T loops). Further hydrogen bonds mediate the characteristic L-shaped molecular structure. tRNAs have two regions of fundamental functional importance: the anti-codon, which is responsible for specific mRNA codon recognition, and the 3' end, to which the tRNAs corresponding amino acid is attached (by aminoacyl-tRNA synthetases). tRNAs cope with the degeneracy of the genetic code in two manners: having more than one tRNA (with a specific anti-codon) for a particular amino acid; and 'wobble' base-pairing, i.e. permitting non-standard base-pairing at the 3rd anti-codon position.
Source: RNAcentral
GUCCCCGUCGUCUAGUGGUUAGGACACCACCCUUUCAAGGUGGUGACACGGGUUCAAAUCCCGUCGGGGGCA